CUGGGAAACCAAAUAAGGAACAAGGCAGCUAAAUGUUGUCCCACCUGACUGAGGUCCCCAGUCCCAGUUCCCAGUUUAUACAGCGCCCAUCCCGGUACAAGUAGGAUGGAGGAAAGGGCCAGUACCCAGCCCAACACGUACGCCCAGGCUGGGUAUACAUACCAGCGAUUAAAGGUCAAAGUUAUUGUUGUAGGUGUUGUAGCUGCCGAGCACAGUUAAAGAGCCCACACCCACACUGAAUGAGAAGAAGAUCUGAGCCCCAGCCUCCAACCAAACCUGCUCCAACAAAGCAAAGCGUUACCUGUAUCUGAACGUGAGCUGGCUGAACCAUCUCUGCGGAAACCCUCUCCAGCUUGUUUCCUCUGCUGUCUCGGCCUGUUAGUCGAACACAGAAGGGGACUCUGAGAACAGAGUCCAACCGCCCCACCAGCUCCUCCACAGAGUAGGAUGAUGAUGAUGAAGAGGAGGAGGAGUUCAGCUUCACCUGCUGGAGGCUCUCCUAGUCGGCUCCGAGCAGCGUUACAUGACUGAAAGACGCCUCCUCAUUUGGAGCCAGGCCCGUCACAGCCAGCACCAGAUAGGCAGGAACACCUGGGAAACCAAAUAAGGAACAAGGCAGCUAAAUGUUGUCCCACCUGACUGAGGUCCCCAGUCCCAGUUCCCAGUUUAUACAGCGCCCAUCCCGGUACAAGUAGGAUGGAGGAAAGGGCCAGUACCCAGCCCAACACGUACGCCCAGGCUGGGUAUACAUACCAGCG
Molecule: long non-coding RNA, 758 nt
Organism: Sebastes umbrosus (honeycomb rockfish)
Lineage: Eukaryota; Metazoa; Chordata; Actinopteri; Perciformes; Sebastidae
Exons: 5
Source: RefSeq, a predicted model, not a curated record